RNAcentral lists this ribosomal RNA (177 nucleotides) under Triticum aestivum (bread wheat). RNAcentral's name for it is "partial small subunit ribosomal RNA". Lineage: Eukaryota; Viridiplantae; Streptophyta; Magnoliopsida; Poales; Poaceae. The record is from RNAcentral.
AUGUCCCCGACGAUGAUGCCCCCUGGGCGAAAGGAAAGGGGCCGCCAUUCUCUUUCUUUCCUCAAUCAUUCUGAUCAUUUAUCUCAUUCCCUUUUGUUUGUUUUUUCGGGUUGGUUCGGUGACUCUGAUACCAUGAUAUCAUUGGUCGAAGAAUUCCUUGCCUCGCGGGACACGUAA